Molecule: ribosomal RNA, 135 nt
Organism: Bos indicus x Bos taurus (hybrid cattle)
Lineage: Eukaryota; Metazoa; Chordata; Mammalia; Artiodactyla; Bovidae
Source: Ensembl
UAUGGUCAUACCGCCCUGAACAGGUCCAAUCUCGUCUGAUUUCGGAAACUGAGCAGAGUCAGGCCUGUUAGUACUCUGGGGCUUCCUGGGUGGUGCUAACUGUCAAGAACCCACCUGCCAAUGCAGGAGACAUAA